RNAcentral lists this long non-coding RNA (3237 nucleotides) under Nicotiana benthamiana. RNAcentral's name for it is "long non-coding RNA (NBEN_LNC003993)". The stretch from base 2191 to 2351 matches the Rfam family "U1 spliceosomal RNA". The record is from RNAcentral. Lineage: Eukaryota; Viridiplantae; Streptophyta; Magnoliopsida; Solanales; Solanaceae.
UGAAAGAGCAGGCUGAGCUUGUGCAGAAAGCUUUGCAGCGUGAUCCGGUUAACUAUCCAUUCUGAAGCUGAAGCUGAAGCGUUCAUGUACCCCAUUGCACUAGCCUCCAAAACUGAAAGAAUGUUUAGCCCAGUGAGUUUCAGUUGUUUGGAAAUAAGGCCUUUUUGUUUGUGCUCCUUUUCAGUUGGGUAACCAAUUUUACUAAUGCUUUCACAUGUAUACGUUAUCAGUUGGUAACAGUUUUGAUCAGUAAGACGACUCGCUCACGGCUCUAUCCUUGUUCUUUCUUCCCUUUGAAGGUUCUUGAUCUGUCUGCUUUCUGGGUUGUGUGCACGUGUUCUCUAUUAUUUUUUUUUUUACGAAAAAGGUCCAAAUAUAUCCCUAUACUAUCCGGAAUAGUAAAUAUAUCCUCUGUUUGGGUAUCUGUCCAAUUAAACCCCUAACAUCAUAACCCACCUAAAAUUUUACUACCCGAUUUAUUAACCUACCCCUUAAUUUAAUGCAUACCCGACCCGUCAACUCUCUUUAUUCUGAUUUUUUUUUUUCAUUUUCUUGGUUUGUUUCUUUACGUUCUUUCUUUAUCUUCGACUACCAAUUUCCUUGACUUAGCUUCAGCUUUCAAUUGGAUCUCAAUCUCUAGGACAUGCCCAACAACUUCAUCUCAUAUCCUUCAUCAUGGAUUUGACCAAGAUUCUGCUAUAGCGCAACCAAACUCAUCUCCUCCUACUUUGUAUGCAAAACCCAAUUGGCUCUCAAUUUGUUUUUGACUCUAUUGAACACAAAAGUCAGUAUCUUUGGAACAUUAUAAUUAAUGUUUAUACUAAACAAGUUCUUUAAGCAACGUUUUAAGCUUUGUAAAAGUAAAGUCACCUUUAAUGAGUUUACCUUGUCGGGUAUAGUGAAAAUUUUGGGUGAAUUAGGGGAGAUUGUUUUUAGAAAAAUUGUUCAUGGGAGUUGUGUGAGAAAUGAGGUUUUUUGGAUAUUGAUGUUGGUGAUUCUUUUAUGUCUAUGAAUAGCAAAUGUGGGAUUUUUCAAGAUUUCCUGAAGGUCUUUGAUAGAAUGCCGUAUAGGAGAGUUUCAUUUUUAAUGUUCUAGUUUCUGCGUAUAUGGGUGUAAAAGAGAGCUUUAGAUUCCAAAAAUAUGAGAUUUUGAGAAGGAUAUGCAAUUUCAAGGCUGGAAGUUUGAUGCAUUUACAGUUUCGACACUUCUUUUUUUGUGCGGAGAGGUGAAGAAGAACUGGCACAGAGUGACACUAUGGUAAAGGCCUGCAGUGUUAUGUUCUGGAGGCUGAAUUGGACUCGAAAUUGGAUUCAAAUUGGAUGAAGUUCAGGUGAAGGAGGUGGCAAGAUGUUUUGAUAAAGAAGAAAGAGAAGUGUGUAAAGGAAAAAAGAAAGCAAAUGAAAAGAAAAUCAAAAUAAAGAUAUUUGACGGGUCGGUUGUGGAUUAAAUUAACGGGAUGGGGUAAGAAAUCAGGUAUUAAAAUUGUAAGUGGGUUAUUUGAUUCUAGUUUGCCAAUUAUCCCUCGGUCUAAUUUAUGGGCAAAUUAGUUGCAAUAGUAUGACGGCAAUCUGCGAAACUACCUUUAGAUAUAUAUAAAUAAACUGAUUAGAUAUAUAAAAUCAAAAUUGAAUAUUCUUUAUCGGAAUUUUUUCUUUACUUCUUUCAAAUUUGAACACUCUUGAAAAUAUUUUUGGUUUCGUCACAAAUGAUACCAGAAGUAUAAUUGGACGAAUAUUCCAACGGAGGAUAUAUUUAAACUAUUUCGAAUAGUAGAGAAAUAUAUUUGAUGCUUAUCCGUUUCUUUUUAUUCAGCUCUCUUUGCAAUAUCCACAAAAUAAAGAGAAAAAGCCAAAACUAAACAAAGUUGGUGGGUGGAUUGAGGGGGUUGUACAUAAGAAUCAUGCUUCAUAUGAAAUGAUUCGUAUAUUCACAAUAUAGAGGGCUAAAAACCAAAAAGAAAAGAGAUGGUGGUAGAUUUGGAGGGGGUGGGUGGAUAAGAAUGUGUCCCAUAUAUUCAAUAACAAUAAAGGAACAAAAUCGGGUGGAACGCAAAAAGAAAAAGAGAGAAGCAUACCUUAGAAAAGUACGUAACAGAAAAUGUCUAGUGGCGAAAGGUUCCCACAUCGGCAGAGACAGAAGAUAGCAAGGAGCUUGAGCACUAUAAAGAUAUGAGAGGGAACAUCAUCGAACAUACUUACCUGGACGGGGUCAAUGGGCGAUCAAGAAGGCCUAUGGCCUAGGUUGGUGACUUUCAUUGCACUUUGAAGGGGUGCCUGCCUAAGGUCGGCCCAAGUGGCCGAGCCUACGUCAUAAUUUGUGGCAGCGGGGGCCUGCGUUCGCGCGGCCCCUACCCAAAUCUUAGUGUCAAGCCUUUAUUCUCUGUGCCUGAGCCAUUAGUGUUAUAUGGUUUGGGCCCAAUGUAGUCUGUAAAAUGGGGGAAUGAUCUUCUGAUUGACUAUGACUUAAACGAUGGAAUUUGGAACGUUGCAUUGUUAUAAGAACUUAUGUAGAAAAGAGAAAUGGCAUUAACAAGCAAAAUAAUACUCGUGAACAUUGGUUGUACUAAGCUGCUUUUAUAGGAUCCGUUCUCUCUAUUCGUGACACUUAUAUUUCGUUCAGACAGACACUUGAUCGAGCAUAAAGCAAAACUCUUGAAAUUAUAUAAUGUAUAAAUAAGUUUUGAUAAUUAACUAUUAAGUGAAUCAUAUAUAAACAGAGAAGAAGCAUGGCAACCACUCUUUGAGAUGUUGGCUUUACGGGGAUUUCAAAUUACAAGCCCAAAUCUCUUCUCGCCUAUUGUGCCCAAAUGCCAAAUAACGCUAGUGCUUCUCUUUUGGUCCAGUGGUUAAUAUGAUAAAAAAUUGGACGAGCCGUUAACCUAUAUGUUUUUUUAAAACUUUGAACUUGUACCCACUUUUUAAACAAUUUCAACUCUAUUUCUCCUCCUCAAAGUUAUAUCCGCUUCUUUCUCAAACUACUCUUCUCUUUUCUGCAAGAAAUGCAAAUUCCUUGGUGGUUGUCUGAGAUUGUACAGUGUGGUGGAGCUGCUGAAUCUUCUGAAUAUGUCAUCUUAGGGAUCAUUACUGUUCUGGUAGUCCGAGUCUUUGUUGUUUUCAUUUCAAAGUGGAAUGCUUUUUGUGUGUUGCUUCUCUUUUAAUGUUUUACACGCUAUUACUCUUAAUCGAUGUUAUUCUCUUAUUUUAAAGCUGUAACUAAACCUAUAAGCUAGAUUUCGAC